UGGCGGCAGGCCUAACACAUGCAAGUCGAGCGGUAACAUUUCUAGCUUGCUAGAAGAUGACGAGCGGCGGACGGGUGAGUAACGCGUAGAAAUCUACCUAGUAGUGGGGGAUAGCCCAGAGAAAUUUGGAUUAAUACCGCAUACGCCCUACGGGGGAAAGCGGGGGAGUCUUCGGACCUCGUGCUAUUAGAUGAGUCUGCGUCGGAUUAGCUUGUUGGUGAGGUAAUGGCUCACCAAGGCGACGAUCCGUAGCUGGUCUGAGAGGAUGACCAGCCACACUGGAACUGAGACACGGUCCAGACUCCUACGGGAGGCAGCAGUGGGGAAUAUUGCACAAUGGGCGCAAGCCUGAUGCAGCCAUGCCGCGUGUGUGAAGAAGGCCUUAGGGUUGUAAAGCACUUUCAGCAGUGAGGAAAGGGGUGUCGUUAAUAGCGCCAUCCUGUGACGUUAACUGCAGAAGAAGGACCGGCUAACUCCGUG
RNAcentral lists this ribosomal RNA (480 nucleotides) under uncultured bacterium. RNAcentral's name for it is "bacterial SSU rRNA". It matches the Rfam family "Bacterial small subunit ribosomal RNA", at positions 37 to 507 of the family's 1533-position model. The record is from RNAcentral.